Dipodomys ordii (Ord's kangaroo rat) is the source of this 57-nucleotide non-coding RNA. Lineage: Eukaryota; Metazoa; Chordata; Mammalia; Rodentia; Heteromyidae. The record is from Rfam.
AGCUCAGUGGUAGAGUGCUUGCCUUGCAUGCAUGAGGCCCUGGGUUCAAUUCCUCAG